Long non-coding RNA from Myiozetetes cayanensis, 6511 nucleotides. RefSeq lists it as uncharacterized. The record is from RefSeq and is a predicted model, not a curated record. The transcript has 3 exons. NCBI's taxonomy places the organism in Eukaryota, Metazoa, Chordata, Aves, Passeriformes, Tyrannidae.
GAAGCUUUGUGGAAGAAGGCGGUUCCAUCUUAACGGGAAGGGUGGUGCGUCGUGGCGGUGUCUGUUUUUUCCGUUGCGUCUCGGCGGCCGAGGCUAGGCUCGCUCAGGGCCGUGGAGGCGCCGUGACGAUGGCAUACUUCGCGGAUAGCUUCUGGUUGUAUCAUAUCGAAGCAAAACUGCGUCUCGGAACUUUAUACUUUUGUACCGACAACUCAGUUCUAUCUGAAUGACAGAAGGUACAGCCUGAACCGCAUAAUAAUAAUAAUGGCCAGUCUUCGCGAGCGAAGAUCCGGGGAAGGUCUUUCCACCUUCCAGCCUGCGCAUUGGAUUUUUUAGAGCUUCUCUGGAGAUGACCUUUAUUUAAUUUAUUGAAACUGGAAGAAGAAAACUGAAAUUGCCAGGUUGCUUUUGUGUUUAAACUCCUCAAAACUUUCAGAACUGAAGAAGAUAUGUUGCCAGUGUAAACAUCAGGUGACUAUUUUUUUUAAAUUUUGAUACUCUCAAUUUUAUGUAACUCUUUCAGAUACUCGGUAAUUGAAAAUGACUGUUAGCUAGCUUUCAAAAAUAUAACAUCAUAAUAUUAAUCAGAGGAAAAUUUUCAUGUAUACAGGGUCCAUUAAGUAAUUGCCUAGGUGGAAAGUAUGAAAUGUGUUACUUAUUUGAAACUGCAGCAAGCAGCAACAAUUGUAAACAAAAUGACAGUGAUGUUUAUCAGAGCAUCUAAAAUGAGUUUAAAUUUACCUGGAGUUAGGUAAAUGAAAAGAAGUUGACAACACAAAUGAACAAACAAUAAUGACUAGUAUAUGUCUUUCUAAGUUUAUGGGUAAAGAGAAGAUUGGUUUUGGUUAAUAUGUGAAACUUUCAUUUUAGAAUUACAGCAAUGUACACCCAGUUUCUAUUGUUGCACUAAAAUCUGUAAAUAAUUAACAAACAUGGUAUCUUUUAAGCAGCAUAAAUCAAAUCUUGUAGUUGUUUAAAAGUUGUACCUAGUUGCAGCAAAUACUUUAUUUCACCUUUAUGAGGGAGUUGUGCAUAUUGGUGCAACUCUGGAACAACUCUAGAAUUAUCUUGAUACAGACACUUUUUCUACCAAAAGGACUUUUAUGCCAUUAUCAUUUGUCUGUAUUAGUAUUCUUGCAUGCAUGAUAUGUUGGACAGGGCUAUGUGUGGUUUUUUCAUUCUGCUGUCUGACAGAAUAGUUUGGGUAGUAUUUUUAAGUGUAAAUCUAGCUGUAGGACAGCUUCUCUGGAGCUGACUAAAACAAGGGUUAAAGGAUACAAAUGCUUCAGUUGUCACCCCAGAAAAUGAAACAAGUAACUAUUUUUCACAUUAAUUCUUUUCUAGACAUUUCCUAUUUAGUGUUCAUUUAACAAGAGGGGAUGGCUCUUUUGGUCACAUUUCAUUGAUAUAUCAUGAUUGCUGUAGGCAGCUGUAAGGUUGAACUAGGGUUUGGAAAGUUAAUUUGGAGAUCAUCCAUUUUUCAUUUUAUGACAAUUUGAAGUAAAUUAGGAACCUAAACUUUUUAUGGUUGAUUGCCACUUCCAAACAUGGCAGUUGGAAUAUUUGUCUUCCUGUCUCCUGGAGAAUAAAUUGUGGGCUUGGUAGGCUAUUUUAAAAAGAGGAUUAAGCAGGUUAUGACUUAAAAACUAUACUUUUGAUUAUAAAUUAUUUAUCAGUCUGAUUUCUUCAGUGUAACGUGAUGAUUAAAGGGUUGAAUAGGGGUGAAGGAUGAUUGUGAAUGCUUAACCAGUGCUAAUGAGCAUUAUAAAAGUAUAGGUUGAAAUUAGGAUAAUCCACUUAGUGUCAAAUUUUUCUUGCUGAACUUAGGGGGGAAGGGGGGGGAACCAAACUGCCUGAACUUCUCUCAUCAAACUUUUGUAGUUUGACCAAAGACCAAGGACUAUGAAGCUGAUCAGAGGGCUGGAGCACCUCUGCUAUGGAGACAGACUGAGAGAGUAGGGGUUGUUCAACCUGGAAAAGAGAAACAUCUUCUAGUGCCUAAAGGGGCUCCAAGAGAGCUGGAGAGGGACUCUUCACAAGGGUCUGGAGUGACAGGACAAGGGGGAAUAAUGGCUUCACACUGACAGAAGGCAGGGUUAGAUUAGAUAUUAGGAAGAAAUUCUUUACUGUGAGAGUGGUGAGGUGCUGGCACAGGUUGCCCAGAGAAGCUGUGGAUGCCCCAUCCCUGGAAAUGUUCAAGGCCAGAUUGGAUGGGGCUCUGAGCAACCUGGUCUAGUGGAAGGUGUCCCUGCAUGUGGCAGGGAGUUGGAACUAGAUGGUCUUCAAGGUCCCUUCCAACCCAAACCUUUCUAGGAUUCUAUGAAAAUCAAAAUGUGUUUGAGAACUGCAUGUUCCUUUUAUUGUUUUAUCUACUCUGUUUUUCUGUGCAAUCAGUAUUUGCAGCUGUCUGCCUUCUCACACUAACUCAAGAAGUAGUAUGCAUCUAAGCACUCAUGGGAAUUUUAGAAUCACCUUAAUAGCUGUCAUGGGUUUGCUCUGGGCCAAUUUCUCUCACUCCUCACACAAUUGCUAUAAGUUGAGAGAAGGUUUAUGCAGAUAAAAGAGACCUGAUUGGGGAGAAUAAUAUUAGGAUUUAUUACUAGCAAGUUAAAAACUAAAGAACUAUAUCUACAACAAUUCUAAUUAGGCAAAAGUGCUAUGUAUUUACAAAAAUACCUCUCCCCCCUUUGUAUCAGAUCAGGAGGAGAAGUACUCUUUGUUCCAUUUUUGGAGCUCCAGGUCUUUUAAAUAAUUUUGCAGCACUCAAAAGUUCUUCUUCUAUUAUCUCUAGGAUGACAACUCCGAUUCGUCACAGCUGGAACUGUUUCUCUUUCUCUCCCUUUUCUAUGUUGACCUCAGGGUUGGGCCUACCCCCCUCCUGGGCUAAGACCAGAGCCUGGGGGGUUACCCAGGUCCUGUAGGGUCUUCCAUGGACUGCAAGGGGACACUUGCCUACCAUGGAUCUUCACCACAGAGUCACAGGGGAUAAUGGCUUUGAGUCCACCCCUGUUUCCUGUGGGGUCCCUUCCCAUGGGAGAACAGUCUUUGAUAGACCUCUCUGAUGUGGGUCCAUCCGUCAAGCAACAGGUCUUCCAUUCUCUGCUGUCCCUCAGGGUCACCAAUUCAGCUGCACUAGCAUGGAUCCCUCACUCGGAUCCCACAUCCUACCCAGGGCUGUCUCACUCCAGCAUAGGUCUCUCCUUCAUGAACUGCAGAGGGUCUCCACUCUUCAACAGUUUUCCACAGGUGGUAGGGAUUUUUAGUUUUCGGUCUCUUCCCUGCUGAAGGAAGAGAGAGAGAGAGGAGGAGAGAAGGAAUUUUCCCCAUUCACGGAUUUUCUCUUCUCUCUGGCUGCCAGCUUGACCUUGGAGGCCCGUUAUCUCUGCCUGGAAUUUCUUCAGCAGUAUGUCUUGUCCAGGCAGUUUUUCUCCAAAGUUUUUUUUUCUCUACUCUCUUACAAGAGAGAAGGGGGGCUUCAGUGCCACACCUGUCCUGGGCCAGGGGAGGAGGGGGCCCUGACCCACUUGGGGCCUGCCUCCUCUCCUACAUGGCUACUAAUUUCAUCUGCGCAACAACCUUCUCUUCUGUUUUCUUAAAUAUGUAAUUGGCAGAGGUGUUACUAAAACUUUUGAUUGGCUUUUUCUCUGGAAAUACACCUGGAGAAAACUAUUUUCAGCCCCAGAGAGGGAUGGGAACAAACCCAUGACAAUAACUGAGAAACACUUGUAUACCUUGGGUAAAAUGAGGUUACUAUAAUAGAGAGUAUUAGCUUUUUACAUGAAGAGAUGUUAAUCUUGAAUGGUUUUGGUCUAAAGUACACUGAGCUUUCACUUAUAUAAUUAAAUUAGAAACAUGGGGAAUAAAUACUGCUACAGAUUGCCCAGAAAUUUCUGGCUAUUUUACCAAAUAUAAGUUUUAAAUUCAGAAUCAUUUUUUAUAUGCAACACAAACUUAUUUUUAAAAUUUUCCAAAAUCUUUUAAGUACUUUAGUAAAACAGUUUCUGUAAUCUGUUUCCUGUUAUGUAGAAGUUGUGGAAUUGCUGAACUCUGAUCAUCAAGUCCAACCCUUGAUCCAACCCCACUGUGAUUACUAGAUCAUGGCACUCAGUGCCACAUCCAAUCUCGUCUUAAAAACCUCCAGGGAUGGUGAAUCCACCACCUCUCUGGGCAGGCCAUUCCAAUGCCUGAUCACUCUCUCUGGAAAGAACUUCUUUCUAAUAUCCAACCUAAACCUUCCCUGACAGAGCUUAACAUCAUGCCCUCUUGUCCUAUUGCUGAUUGCCUGGGAGAAGAGACCGGCCCCCACCUGGCUACAACCUCCUCUCAGGUAGUUGUAGAGAGUGAUGAGGUCACCCCUGAGCCUCCUCUUCUCUAGACUAAACAACCCCAGCUCCCUCAGCCUCUCCUCAUAGGACUUGUGUUCGAGUCACAUCAAAGGGCAGUGAGGGUCAUUUGGGAUGUGUAUUCAGUGUUGCUCUCCUAUCCUUACCUUAGGCACUACCUUUGAGAGUCCAUUAAUAAUCGUACCCAGUCUGUGGGGGGAACAGGGGAAGAUGUUUUUCCCCAGCUUUUCACCCCCUUUUCCUCCUUCAGGCUUCUUACAGCAGCUUUUGAGAAUUUUGAAUUCCCUUUCGAUGUUAACGAAAGCAUGUUCUUCUCGCUAAGUGCCAGGUUUCCUCAGUGCGGUCCAUACCAUGUUUAGAGUUGCAAAAGAGAUUUCUACAAAGGCCUUUCAGAGAUCUGCUCUGAGGGAGGAUAGUUAUGAGUGGCAUGGAAUAUUAGAGGACAUUGGCCAGUUUUUGGCAAAAUUUUCUGCUCCAAUGGUUUGGAAGUUCACCCUUGAACAACUACAGGACCCUGUUAAAGUGAUAAAAUAUGUGGGAGAAAAAUGCUGUGGCAGCUCCAGAGAGGCAGGAAGUUAUGCACUGUGCUGGACCCUGGCUACUAUUUAUCAGACACUGCUCAAUACUAGACAGCACCCUCAGAGGGCGGAGGAGGAAAGCAGACCAACAGGCACUGUGGCCACUCAAACUGCAGCUGAACCAGAGGAACAACUCAUGCUGGUAGCACUCACCCCUAUACAGAAGAAGAAAUCCAAGACCAAAUCAGUUUGCAUAAUGAGGGAUGAACAGGAAGCAGGGCCCUCACAACAGGAGGUAGAGGCAGGGCCAGAGAUAAUCACCCAAUCCCCAGGUGAGCUUCGAGAUAUGCAAAAAGAUUUCAGCUGUCACCUGGUAUGAUAGACUGAAUGUCUUAAACAUUGACGAAAUCAUAGAAAGACUAUUUGUCAAACUGCAAAGAACCAACUGCCUCUCUGGGAUCACUGAAGCACCCCCACCUUCUGAAGAUGAAGAUGCAUCCUGACUGGAAUUUGGACUGGGACGUGGAACUUGAGAUAAGACUAUUGUCGAAUUAUCUCAGGUCUGAGGAGAAGUAAACAAGGGUCAUCGGGUGGUGGAGGAGAAGGGUUUUGGAGGUGUGAUGGUGAAAUCUCUCCACAUCAAACAGAAGGAGUAAACCCCUCCGCUCCGGGAAGACCACAUACACACAGGACAUUCACGUGAGAGGCAGCUGAGAAGGGGUCAUAAACCAUCAGACCCUCAAAGUACUCCCCCUCUCCCCCCCCAAAUUCCUGAGGCCUUCCACCACCAGAGGACUGCACAUGAUCCAAGUUAUUCAACAAAUCUGGAACCUGUCGCAAGAGACUGCAAAGCUUCCUCCCCACCCCCUUCCCCCCCAGGGAGGUUCCUGGACAUCUCUUGAACAUAUAUUAAUCCAUUGGACUCUAUGUUUUGUGAGACCCUCACCAUCAAGAAGACCAGACAAACAGGACCCCACAGGAUGCCACCGAGUUCCAUAGAGUGGUGAUACAUUUUCUAUUUUAAUCUCGUUGUCACUCUCUUUCUUCCCCCCCUCCUUUUCCUAUUUCUUUCUAUCUCUCUUUCUCUGCCUCACAUUUACUAUUAAAUAAAAUCCAUGCUAUUGAUUUUGGCAUCUGUUCUCGUUUGUACCUUAAUUCAGGCAGAGGUAUUUCUAAUAAUUUUAAUAACCAGAUCAUAACAUCUGGUGUCAUAGUUCCGAUUUUAGCAAGGAAUUUUUCUUUCCCUUCCCCCUGCCAUGUGUGUGUGCUCUGUAUAUGGGCCAUUAGUUGAACAAAAGAAUCGUCCCCAGCCCUCUAAUGGCUGAGAUUAGUUUCCUUGACAACAAAGGGGGAGGAGUUGGCUGGUGUGUGACUGGAAGGGGGUGGAGGCUGGGGGGAGAGUGCAGUCUCUCUACCCUGAGGGGAGCCUGCUGCGGGCUGCAGACACUGCCAAGUUUCUUUGUUUUUUUUUUUUCUUGUCGGAGGGGAGUUUUUGCUGCUGCUCUCGGCUCAGUUGUGGCUGGCUGCAGGCCCUGCUUAUAACGGACCCUAAUCAGCUGAAGUUUGUGAGUUUUCUUCCAUUGAGAGAACUUUCUGUUUUAUUGCUGUUGUUUUUCUUUCCCCUUCUUUCCCCCCCUCCCCCCCCACCUG